AGCUUUGUGCAGUGGCAGUAUCGUAGCCAGUGAGGUUUAUCUGAGGUGCGAUUAUUGAUAAUUGAAAACUAAAGACAUCGCAAAGGCUCCCUAACCCAGAGCCUUUCUGUUGAAUCACACUGAU
Molecule: small nuclear RNA, 124 nt
Filed under: Chinchilla lanigera (long-tailed chinchilla)
Lineage: Eukaryota; Metazoa; Chordata; Mammalia; Rodentia; Chinchillidae
Description: U4 spliceosomal RNA (ENSCLAG00000020651.1)
Rfam family: U4 spliceosomal RNA
About the family: U4 small nuclear RNA (U4 snRNA) is a component of the major U2-dependent spliceosome. The structure of U4 snRNA from yeast and human has been reported.
Source: Rfam by way of RNAcentral